RNAcentral lists this ribosomal RNA (1351 nucleotides) under Corynebacterium ulcerans. Its description in RNAcentral is "bacterial LSU rRNA". It matches the Rfam family "Bacterial large subunit ribosomal RNA", at positions 1579 to 2925 of the family's 2925-position model. The record is from RNAcentral. Lineage: Bacteria; Bacillati; Actinomycetota; Actinomycetes; Mycobacteriales; Corynebacteriaceae.
UUUUGGUUGAUGUUGGUGAUCCUGUACUGUCGAGAAAAGCCUCUAGCGAGUGUCAUUAUGGCCCGUACCCUAAACCGACACAGGUAGUCAGGUAGAGAAUACUAAGGCGAUCGGGUGAACUGUGGUUAAGGAACUCGGCAAAAUGCCCCCGUAACUUCGGGAGAAGGGGGACCAUUGUUGGUGACAGACUGAUGGAGCUGACGGUGGUCGCAGAGAAUAGAGGGAAGCGACUGUUUAUUAAAAACACAGUCCGUGCGAAAACGUGGAAGUUGAUGUAUACGGACUGACGCCUGCCCGGUGCUGGAAGGUUAAGAGGACCUGUUAGAUCCCUUUGUGGGUCGAAGCGGAGAAUUUAAGCCCCAGUAAACGGCGGUGGUAACUAUAACCAUCCUAAGGUAGCGAAAUUCCUUGUCGGGUAAGUUCCGACCUGCACGAAUGGCGUAACGACUUCCCUGCUGUCUCAACCACAGGCCCGGUGAAAUUGCAGUACGAGUAAAGAUGCUCGUUACGCGCGGCAGGACGAAAAGACCCCGGGACCUUCACUAUAGCUUGGUAUUGGUGUUUGGUUCGGUUUGUGUAGGAUAGGUGGGAGACUGUGAUACUGCGCCGCUAGGUGUGGUGGAGUCGCAAGUUGAAAUACCACUCUGAUCGGAUUGAGCACCUUAACCUUGGCCCAUGAUCUGGGUUGGGGACAGUGCCUGGUGGGUAGUUUAACUGGGGCGGUUGCCUCCUAAAAUGUAACGGAGGCGCCCAAAGGUUCCCUCAGCCUGGUUGGCAAUCAGGUGGUGAGUGUAAGUGCACAAGGGAGCUUGACUGUGAGACUGACAGGUCGAGCAGGGACGAAAGUCGGGACUAGUGAUCCGGCACCUACUUGUGGAAGUGGUGUCGCUCAACGGAUAAAAGGUACCCCGGGGAUAACAGGCUGAUCUUCCCCAAGAGUCCAUAUCGACGGGAUGGUUUGGCACCUCGAUGUCGGCUCGUCGCAUCCUGGGGCUGGAGUAGGUCCCAAGGGUUGGGCUGUUCGCCCAUUAAAGCGGCACGCGAGCUGGGUUUAGAACGUCGUGAGACAGUUCGGUCUCUAUCCGCCGUGCGCGUUGAAACUUGAAGAAGGCUGUCCCUAGUACGAGAGGACCGGGACGGACGUACCUCUAGUGUGCCAGUUGUCACGCCCGUGGCAGGGCUGGUUGGCUACGUACGGAAGGGAUAACCGCUGAAAGCAUCUAAGCGGGAAGCCUGUUUUAAGAUGAGGUUUCUUUUGAGGUUCCCUCUAGACGAGGGGGUUGAUAGGCCAGAUCUGGAAGAGUGGUAACACUUGGAGGUGACUGGUACUAAUUUACCGAUAAACAACCAC